This is a regulatory RNA element of 117 nucleotides. It matches the Rfam family "ALIL pseudoknot". The record is from Rfam.
CGCUUUUUUCGCCCAGGCGGAGAAGGGCCGCAAACCCAAGUGAUAGUCAAAUUCAUUGAUGACGAGAAACAGCAUUACGGGGUCGAGUCGAUUUGCAGAAUACUGCCAAUUGCCCCA